UCGAGGAUCUUCGGCAAUGGGCGCAAGCCUGACCGAGCGACGCCGCGUGUGCGAUGAAGGCCUUCGGGUUGUAAAGCACUGUCGAGGGGGAGGAAGCUCCGAAAGGGGUUGACCUAUCCCUGGAGGAAGCACGGGCUAAGUUCGUGCCAGCAGCCGCGGUAAGACGAACCGUGCGAACGUUAUUCGGAUUCACUGGGCUUAAAGGGCGCGUAGGCGGCUCCGCGAGUCGGGGGUGAAAUCGUUCAGCUUAACUGGACAAGGGCCUCCGAUACCGCGGGACUCGAGGGGGAUAGGGGUGCGCGGAACUUCCGGUGGAGCGGUGAAAUGCGUAGAUAUCGGAAGGAACGCCGGUGGCGAAAGCGGCGCACUGGAUCCCUACUGACGCUGAGGCGCGAAAGCCAGGGGAGCAAACGG
This 414-nucleotide ribosomal RNA is filed under the name uncultured bacterium. Its description in RNAcentral is "bacterial SSU rRNA". It matches the Rfam family "Bacterial small subunit ribosomal RNA", at positions 355 to 775 of the family's 1533-position model. The record is from RNAcentral.